Molecule: RNase P RNA, 345 nt
Filed under: Clostridiaceae bacterium
Lineage: Bacteria; Bacillati; Bacillota; Clostridia; Eubacteriales; Clostridiaceae
Also listed under: 1 other name
Description: RNase P RNA component class A
Rfam family: Bacterial RNase P class A
About the family: Ribonuclease P (RNase P) is a ubiquitous endoribonuclease, found in archaea, bacteria and eukarya as well as chloroplasts and mitochondria. Its best characterised activity is the generation of mature 5'-ends of tRNAs by cleaving the 5'-leader elements of precursor-tRNAs.
Source: RNAcentral
UGACCGGAUCAGACGAUCGCGGAUGCAAUGCCUAAAGGCUGCAGAUGAGGAAAGUCCGGGCUCCGAAGGGCAGGAUGCCGGCUAAUUACCGGUGAAGGUGACUUCAAGGAAAGUGCAACAGAGAGAUACCGCCGUAGCAAUACGGUAAGGGUGGAAAGGCGAGGUAAGAGCUCACCAGCGAUAUGGUAACAUAUCAGGCUAUGUAAACCCCAUCCGGAGCAACACCGCAAAAAGGGACUAUGGGUUGCCCGCCCGUCUCUGAAGGUGGCUUGAGUAUGAUAGAGAUAUUGUGCCUAGACAGAUGAUCGUCUAAUACAGAACCCGGCUUACAGAUCCGGUAAGGAA